This is a long non-coding RNA of Camelina sativa (false flax), 471 nucleotides long. RefSeq lists it as uncharacterized. The record is from RefSeq and is a predicted model, not a curated record. Lineage: Eukaryota; Viridiplantae; Streptophyta; Magnoliopsida; Brassicales; Brassicaceae.
GAAACGGUACGGAAAAUAGAUCGAUCUUCCUUUUUCCCUUGGCAGCUCGUCGUCGUCAAAAGAAGAUCAAUCUGUGGAAUGGAACCUCUCAGGAAGAGUUUGGGUAUUCAGAGGUACCACUGGGAUAACAAGAUGUUCAGCAUCAGUUACCACUGUUCUCGUUGUGUAUCCACAACCAAGAUCGAGGUGGUCACAGGAGCGGAGAGGUCCACAAGAAUGUCAACGGUGGUUCUCACCCCGAGGUGGAAGUGACUUGGGAGGAGGAUGCCAAGGUUCAGAUCCACAUCACCUGUCACUGCGGUGAGAAAAUCGAGUUCAAUCGUCAAGGCAAUUCCGGAUCUAUCCACUCGAUCCCUCGUUAGGGUUUUGUUUCUGUAAUAAUAAUAAUAAUAAGAUGUUGCUUCCUGCUUUGACACUUAUGGGAUGAUUAAUUAUGUCUAAGAUUCUAUAUUUAAGCCUACGUUCUCCGGA